UUCGCAUUACUAAAAUAUCGGUGG
RNAcentral lists this microRNA (24 nucleotides) under Apis mellifera (honey bee). RNAcentral describes it as "ame-miR-3763-5p". The record is from miRBase by way of RNAcentral. Lineage: Eukaryota; Metazoa; Arthropoda; Insecta; Hymenoptera; Apidae.